RNAcentral lists this ribosomal RNA (465 nucleotides) under uncultured bacterium. RNAcentral's name for it is "partial 16S ribosomal RNA". It matches the Rfam family "Bacterial small subunit ribosomal RNA", at positions 338 to 795 of the family's 1533-position model. The record is from RNAcentral.
CCUACGGUGUGCAGCAGUAGGGAAUCUUCCACAAUGGACGAAAGUCUGAUGGAGCAACGCCGCGUGAGUGCAGCAGGGUUUCGGCUCGUAAAGCUCUGUUGGGAGUGAAGAAAGAUAGAGGUAGUAACUGGCCUUUAUUUGACGGUAAUUACUUAGAAAGUCACGGCCAACUACGUGCCAGCAGCCGCGGUAAUACGGAGGGUGCGAGCGUUAAUCGGAAUUACUGGGCGUAAAGCGCUCGUAUGCGGUAUGUCAAGUCAAGGGUGAAAUCCCCGCGCUCAACGUGGGAACUGCAUUUGAAAAUGGCAAAAUGGAGUGUGUGAGAGGAUAGUGGAAGUCCAGGUGUAGGAGUGAAAUCCGUAGAUAUCUGGAGGAACAUCAGUGGCGAAGGCGACUAUCUGGCACAUAACUGACGCUGAGGAGCGAAAGCGUGGGUAGCAAACAGGAUUAGAUACCCUUGUAGUC